Molecule: long non-coding RNA, 297 nt
Filed under: Gossypium barbadense (sea-island cotton)
Lineage: Eukaryota; Viridiplantae; Streptophyta; Magnoliopsida; Malvales; Malvaceae
Description: long non-coding RNA (GBAR_LNC013330)
Source: RNAcentral
GCCAUUGAAACAACCCCUCUUGACCCUUUUCCCUUGAAAGAUCGAACUUUGGAGGAGACAUGGAGGGAAAGCAGAGAGUCCCCAGAAGCAGCGGAGGAGAAGCCUAGGCUGUGGAUGAGAGGAGAGGACUUGAGGUGGCGGCGCGUGGAAGGAAGGCGGAUGAGGGAUGCAGAAGAGCGGGAGGCGGAGGAAGAGGUGGUGGAGGCGGUGGUUUUGAGGAGGGAAAGAGUGGUGGAAGUGGUGGCAGAAGCCAUUUGGAGGCGAAGAGAGAAAGAGAGAGGAGAGGCUGAGUUGUAA